AUUGAACGCUGGCGGAAUGCUUUACACAUGCAAGUCGAACGGCAGCACGGGGGCAACCCUGGUGGCGGGUGGCGAACGGGUGAGUAAUACAUCGGAACGUGCCCGGUCGUGGGGGAUAACGUAGCGAAAGUUACGCUAAUACCGCAUACGAUCUGAGGAUGAAAGCGGGGGACCUUCGGGCCUCGCGCGAUCGGAGCGGCCGAUGUCAGAUUAGGUAGUUGGUGGGGUAAAGGCCUACCAAGCCGACGAUCUGUAGCUGGUCUGAGAGAACGACCAGCCACACUGGGACUGAGACACGGCCCAGACUCCUACGGGAGGCAGCAGUGGGGAAUUUUGGACAAUGGGCGCAAGCCUGAUCCAGCCAUUCCGCGUGCAGGACGAAGGCCUUCGGGUUGUAAACUGCUUUUGUAUGGAGCGAAAAGGCUCUGGCUAAUACCUGGGGCUCAUGACGGUACCGUAAGAAUAAGCACCGGCUAACUACGUG
This 484-nucleotide ribosomal RNA is filed under the name uncultured bacterium. RNAcentral's name for it is "partial 16S ribosomal RNA". It matches the Rfam family "Bacterial small subunit ribosomal RNA", at positions 30 to 507 of the family's 1533-position model. The record is from RNAcentral.